CCUACGGGGGGCUGCAGUGGGGAAUAUUGGACAAUGGGCGAAAGCCUGAUCCAGCCAUGCCGCGUGUGUGAAGAAGGCCUUCGGGUUGUAAAGCACUUUCAGUGGGGAAGAAAGCCUUGGGGCUAAUACCCUCGAGGAAGGACAUCACCCACAGAAGAAGCACCGGCUAACUCCGUGCCAGCAGCCGCGGUAAUACGGAGGGUGCGAGCGUUAAUCGGAAUUACUGGGCGUAAAGCGCGCGUAGGCGGUCUGAUAAGCCGGUUGUGAAAGCCCCGGGCUCAACCUGGGAACGGCAUCCGGAACUGUCAGGCUAGAGUGCAGGAGAGGAAGGUAGAAUUCCCGGUGUAGCGGUGAAAUGCGUAGAGAUCGGGAGGAAUACCAGUGGCGAAGGCGGCCUUCUGGACUGACACUGACGCUGAGGUGCGAAAGCGUGGGUAGCAAACAGGAUUAGAUACUCCAGUAGUC
This 465-nucleotide ribosomal RNA is filed under the name Vreelandella stevensii. RNAcentral describes it as "partial 16S ribosomal RNA". It matches the Rfam family "Bacterial small subunit ribosomal RNA", at positions 338 to 795 of the family's 1533-position model. Lineage: Bacteria; Pseudomonadati; Pseudomonadota; Gammaproteobacteria; Oceanospirillales; Halomonadaceae. The record is from RNAcentral.